GGAAGCUCCCGCUAAUUACACUUUUCCAGGUUACUUGUAUGUUAGGGGGAAAAAGCUUGAAACUUAAAAAAAAAAAAAAAAAAGAAAAAAACCCACUUGUAUUAUUCCGUUUUCCAUUGCUUCAUCAAAUACUUAGGACUGGUUCAUAUAGAAAGAAGUUUAUUUAUUUAGCUCUUGUGGAAGUUCAAGCACACAGCCCCAGCUGCUGUGAGGAUCCUACUGAUUGGUGGCUUUAGGGCGGGAGAGGGAGAGAUCACAGGACAAGACAGGAACACUGAGGGGUAUUGGGGUCAGGAUCCUGUGUUUAUAUCAACCACCUCCUGGGCACUAAGAACUACCUUGUUUCUUUCCUGGACAAGGCCAGUAAUGACCUAAUAUCAUCCCAUUAGGCCCCGCCUCUCAAAGGCCCCACCCACUCUGACCACCACCAUCCCGGGGACAUCCCCAACCAAGUCUGAAUCAUAGCAAUAACCUUGCAAGUAUCAUGUCGUUUUUAAUGUUUUCAUGUAACCAAUUCACUCCUAAUCCAGGAAAUAGCAUUUUGUCACCAUCUCAGAAUAAUUAGGAGAUUUAUUUUUUGAAUAUCAGUUUUAUAUUAGGUGGGAUCCACAUUUUUUGUUUUCGUUUUUUAAGCAACAGACACUUAUUGUGGGAUCCACAUUUAGUGCUUCUCCAAGACUGGCUUAUUUUUGUCAGGUCAGUGUGUAUCCAGCUGAAUGUAGACAUCAGGGCCAAAAGUCUGAAUUCGAUGGUUUUGAAAAUGUGAGACAGGCCUUCUGGCAUCCCAAAGGGCCCUCUCAUCCUUCCAUAAGUCAGUCAGUCUUCCAUCAGGUAGAGCUUUUUACAAUUAUGAAGCUAAUACCAAAUUACAAGAGAUGUUUUAUAUUCGUACCUGCACCUUUUUUUCUUUUUAACAACAGGUUAGUAUUUUACACGUGAACCAUGGAUUAUCUUAAUCUUCUAUCCUAUAGGUAGCUGUUCAGAUUACAUCUUGGUUUUGUUUUUGCUAAUUCGAGCAGUAUUGUAGUAAACGCCCUGGUAUGUACCACAGGUACAUAUAUCCAUGUGCGCCAUCUACUUGGGUAACUCCUUAGGAAUGGAAUUCUUGGGCCAACUGGUUAAUAACUUUAGAAUUUGUUCAGAUAUUGCUAUAUUCCCCUUCAAAAGAAGGUUCUACCAAUUUGUUACUCACACCUAGAAUAUACAAACUUUCCUCUGUCCCUACACCCUUACCACACUGGAUAUAGAAACAUUAACUCUUUGCUAAUCUAAAAGGUAAAAAGUGAUACGCCACAGCAUUGUGUUUUUGAUGCUGCAGCGCUAUUAGAGAUUUUCAAAGCUCGAGGGGAUUUUCCAGGGUAGUAGAUGAGCAGGAGACCCCAGAUGAGGCAGCAAGAGAGCCCGGAAUUCCAGCCCUGUCCUUGAAACCUUGGUGCCCGAGGCUAGUUUCUGCCUAUAAAUGGACACAGACCUUGCCCUGAACUGCCAGAGGGAUUUCAUCAGAGGAGGUCCGGCACAGAGCUUGGUUCUGAGGUCAGGUCCUCACCCUGUAAAUGCUGGGAUUGUCCAUUGCCUGUGCCUGGACCUUCCACAUAGGUCCCUCUUGAUCAAAGUAGGAAUUGGGAAGUUUUGGCAUCUCACAGGCCCACACACUGGGUAGGGUUAGAGUACUGCAGUCAAAGGCCUGUGACCUGAGUGUGGUCCCAACUUUCUCUUGUGUCAGAUGGUAAGAACACAAGUUCACUACAGCCAUCUGUGAGCUGCAGUGACCUGGGUCACUGCAUGAAAUUGUGUGGGAGGACAGGUCACUUCCUCAGGGAUAGUGUCGGCACUUUGGAGCUGAAUCGCCACAGGGCACAUAUUGUCCACCUGUCAGUGGCUGUACCUGCUCGCACUGAUACAUUGAUGUUGGCUCUCUGAGCCAAGGCAGGAAUUUCUGAACAACAGUGUGGACAAUUUAUGGGGACCUCCUAUUUGUGGUUCCUCAGCAGAGGCUGCAGGGCUGGCAAGAUCC
This 2014-nucleotide long non-coding RNA is filed under the name Marmota monax (woodchuck). The record is from RNAcentral. Lineage: Eukaryota; Metazoa; Chordata; Mammalia; Rodentia; Sciuridae.